ACAUUUGUUUCCCUGGGCCAGUUAGCACCUUUGAGAGGUUCUCCUGUGGCCAUGCCCACCUGCCUGUCCUCUCAGGAGAAAGAGAGUGGCAGGGCAGGAGGAGGGUCCCCGCCUCCACAGGACAGCUGGCUUAGCUCUGCAGAGCCCCUGUGGCUGGGAGGGUGUUUGUUAGGGCCCCACGGGGUCCGCGUACAGGCAGGCUUUCCGGGCAGGUGGGCCUGCCUCAGUCCCAUCCGGCAUCCACUGUGGAGCAAUGUAACAGCAAGAGACCCACACAGGGUCUGGUUCUCCUUGGCAGGUACAAGAGAACUGCAUUUGUCUUUUGCCCACAACGUCGCUAAAGAAGUACAGAGGCCAAGCAACUCCAAGGCUGUUUGGAAGGAGAGCUGGGCUCUGCCUCCUGGGAGAGUUGGAGGACGUUUAUUCUCUGUGGAGUGUGAAGGGAGGACUGCCCUAUUCCUUGUCUGCUAGUACUUGCCCUGGGAGCCUGUGCGUCUUACCCCUUUUAAUUCUCACUGGCUCUGCUAGACGUGUAUUACCAUCCCAUUUUACGAAUGCAGAAACUGAGGCACUGAGAAUAAUGAUUUCAGACCAUACAGCCUUCCAAGUGGCAAAACCUGGGCUUGAACCAGGUCUCCUGAACUAUAACCUAGCAGAGAGAGAGACAACCACCAUGUCCUCUUGCCUGUGGCUGCAUCCAGUGCCAAUUUAACUCAGCUCUUCCAGGAAGCCCCUUUCUCACCCUGGCCCCAGGCUUGUUCUUGGGGAAGAUUCAGGGACUGGGUCUUACUGAAGGGGCUCUUGAGUGCUGAGAGCUCCACAAGAGGAAGAAGAUGCCUGGGUGCUGAGUAAGGAAACUGACAUGAAACACCUACCUUCCACCAGGCAGGGCUGCUGGGAACACCGUGAGCAUUUUCUCACUUCAUUUUCACAAUGACCCUACAAGCAAACCAUGGGCUGCAGCAGAAGACGAGAAAAGGGAAAGGAGCGAGGUUGCUGCUCUUCUCAUGGGACCAGCUCCAGGUGCUGUCAAAACAAGCCUGAGAUAAGGGCGGGCAGGGCUGGCGGGCUCAGAGAUUAGCGCUGCUACUGCCCUACCUGCUCAGAAAGUUUCAUUCUUUUAGCAGCGUUUCUGGCAGCUGUGACCACUUAAACGGCUUUUGCUUCCAUUAAACAGGAGAGUCAUUAAGUCACGGAGCUUAAAGCAGCUCUAAAGGGCCCAGUAGUCAUUCCUCAGUGAAAAGUGCCAAUUCAUUGCUUGGUAGAUUAAAA
Molecule: long non-coding RNA, 1272 nt
Organism: Chlorocebus sabaeus (green monkey)
Lineage: Eukaryota; Metazoa; Chordata; Mammalia; Primates; Cercopithecidae
Source: RefSeq, a predicted model, not a curated record